Anolis sagrei ordinatus is the source of this 1547-nucleotide long non-coding RNA. RefSeq lists it as uncharacterized. The record is from RefSeq and is a predicted model, not a curated record. NCBI's taxonomy places the organism in Eukaryota, Metazoa, Chordata, Lepidosauria, Squamata, Anolidae.
CCUCAAUUUGUCCUUUUGGGAGGCUGCCGAGGAGAGAGAAGGGAGGAAGAAAGAGGGAUUAGAUUUGAUGGGACAACUACCUUAUUGAUAUGGAUUCAGAAAGGGACCAUUGCUUUCCUGAGCCUGGGUCCCCUUUGUUUACACCCUUGCCACAAGAAUGCAGUUUUGAACCAGACCAGAGAUGCCCAUUCUGUUGAUGAGACUAAAAAAGAUGAGUCAGAAAAUCUGCCUUUUAUCUUAGAAAGGGUUUGAUCUGGCAAAAUGCCUUUAAGAAGACUCUUCAAAGUAAGUUUUUGGGCCUUUGGCGGGCAGAGUCCCUCAAGCCCUGAGAUGGAUUCAGAAAGGGACUAUCGCUUCCCUGGAGCCUGGUGCCCUUUGUUUACCAUAAGAAUGCUGUUCCCAACCAGACUGAUGCUGCCAAUUCCGUUGAUGAGACUGAAGAGACGGGCAGAAAGAACAUUUCAUUGAGCCAGGAUGUCCCUCAGAAGACUGGUCAAACAUUUCUGGAUGGUAUCAGCUCCGCAUCUGGGCCAGGAUGAAAGGAAUGAGAUGCCCAUUUGUGAGGAGUCCUGUGAAUCCUGGAUAAGGAGUAAAAGGCAGGAAUAUGCAUCCUGACCAGGGGAUGGGAAGCUGCCAGUCUGGAAAUACUUUGGAGCCAGCAGUCCCAAGAACUGAGUGCUCCAGAUGUAGCUCAAGAGUCCUCCUCCAUGGACUCAUUGGAUGCUUGGGUGAGGAAGAAAAAGCAGGAGUAUUGUCCUCCUGUGAAGAGGAGGGGAUCAGGAUUCCAACCAAGUCUCCUCUCUUUCUUUUACAGCAUUUCUGGCUGGUAUCAGCCCUGCAGCGCAAACCGGAUGCAAAGAAUGAGGGCCCCAUUCAAGCAGAAGCCUGUGAAUCCUGAGUAAGGAGUGAAAUGCAGUGCACCCUGACCAGGAGAGGAGACAAGGAAAGUAUUGACUCGCUUUAGAGCCAACAGUCCAGGAAUUGACUUUUUGGGUGGGAGCUGGGUUUUUUUUUUGGGCUGUGGGAGUCUUUGGUUUUAUGUUCUUACAUAUGAUUUUUUUUGUUUUUCUUAGGGAACCACCACCACUGGAGAUAGAAGAUUUGGAGGAUGCCUAAGGUGGAGCAACGUGGAUGAGACUGAAGUGAGUUGGGCUUGUGAUCCUGAGAGUACAAUUGAGAAGAAAAAACAUGUUCAAGGAGAAACUCCAUCUUGGAUCCUGCUCACGUUAUCCUCUCCAUGACCUACCUGGCUGAAGGUUAUCCUCCAUCUCUUCCUGGGACUGCUGGUUCCAUCGUGUGCCCAUACUCACCGAUGUUCCUCCUCCCCUAGUCAGGGUGUCCUGUGAACGAAAGGACUCUGCUGGAAUGGGGCCCACAGUCAUCAUGGCUUGGCUUUUACAGAAAUGCUAUAAAGAGACUGUACAUAUUGUUGUCAGUCAAGGACUAUGUUUUAAUCUAAUGUUCAUAAUUUUAUUGUUAAAUUUUGUUAUUGAUUGUGCUGUAUUUGGUGUUUUCUAUUUAUUGAUGUGUUAUUGUUUAUCCAAUUU